This is a non-coding RNA of Acanthosepion pharaonis, 113 nucleotides long. The record is from the annotation of a GenBank genome assembly. Lineage: Eukaryota; Metazoa; Mollusca; Cephalopoda; Sepiida; Sepiidae.
UUACGGCCACAUCCGGCCGAAACACCGGCUCCCAUACGAUCACCGAAGUUAAGCAACGUCGAGCCUGGCCGGUACCUAGAUGGGUGAAAGCUUGGGAAUACCAUAUACUGUAA